This is a long non-coding RNA of Mobula hypostoma (lesser devil ray), 211 nucleotides long. RefSeq lists it as uncharacterized. The transcript has 3 exons. The record is from RefSeq and is a predicted model, not a curated record. Lineage: Eukaryota; Metazoa; Chordata; Chondrichthyes; Myliobatiformes; Myliobatidae.
GGAAGAACUGUUGGCAAGGGGCUUGACAGGACUUACUGAAGAUUUGGAGAGUAUUCUAUGCUGUACAGAAGAUUUGGGACCAGCUGAUUGCGCUUAUACCGGCCAGUUUAGCGAGCAGAGCGGCGGACACCCCGGCUGAAAUCUGGAGGAAGACACACAGAGGAUGCAGAGGAGGAUCACAAAGGCGAGGAAAGAGGACCGGGUCGAGACA